GUGAGAGGGAACAGUAGGUGAGGGGUACAGUAGGUGAGAGGUGAGGGGUUACAGUAGGUGAGAGGUGAGGGGUUACAGUAGGUGAGAGGUGAGAGGGAACAGUAGGUGAGAGGUGAGAGGGAACAGUAGGUGAGAGGUGAGAGGGUACAGUAGGUGAGAGGUGAGGGGUUACAGUAGGUGAGAGGUGAGAGGUAACAGUAGGUGAGAGGUGAGGGGUUACAGUAGGUGAGAGGUGAGAGGGAACAGUAGGUGAGAGGUGAGAGGUAACAGUAGGUGAGAGGUGAGAGGUAACAGUAGGUGAGAGGUGAGAGGUGAGGGGUAACAG
Oncorhynchus tshawytscha (Chinook salmon) is the source of this 325-nucleotide long non-coding RNA. The record is from Ensembl. NCBI's taxonomy places the organism in Eukaryota, Metazoa, Chordata, Actinopteri, Salmoniformes, Salmonidae.